UGGGGAAUUUUGGACAAUGGGCGAAAGCCUGAUCCAGCAAUGCCGCGUGUGUGAAGAAGGCCUUCGGGUUGUAAAGCACUUUUGUCCGGAAAGAAAUCCUUGGCUCUAAUACAGUCGGGGGAUGACGGUACCGGAAGAAUAAGCACCGGCUAACUACGUGCCAGCAGCCGCGGUAAUACGUAGGGUGCAAGCGUUAAUCGGAAUUACUGGGCGUAAAGCGUGCGCAGGCGGUUUGCUAAGACCGAUGUGAAAUCCCCGGGCUCAACCUGGGAACUGCAUUGGUGACUGGCAGGCUAGAGUAUGGCAGAGGGGGGUAGAAUUUCACGUGUAGCAGUGAAAUGCGUAGAGAUGUGGAGGAAUACCGAUGGCGAAGGCAGCCCCCUGGGCCAAUACUGACGCUCAUGCACGAAAGCGUGGGGAGCAAACAGGAUUAGAUACCCUGGUAGUCCACGCCCUAAACGAUGUCAACUAGUUGUUGGGGAUUCAUUCCUUAGUAACGUAGCUAACGCGUGAAGUUGACCGCCUGGGGAGUACGGUCGCAAGAUUAAAACUCAAAGGAAUUGACGGGGUCAUAGCUGUUUCCU
This 584-nucleotide ribosomal RNA is filed under the name uncultured bacterium. Its description in RNAcentral is "partial 16S ribosomal RNA". It matches the Rfam family "Bacterial small subunit ribosomal RNA", at positions 355 to 1375 of the family's 1533-position model. The record is from RNAcentral.